AAACCCGAAAGGUCGAAGGGAGAAAUUCAUUCGCGUUUCGCAGUCGGCGUGAGGCGAUCGAGUGACGGAAUGCGUCUUCGGAUGUUUUCUGCACCUUUUGUUUUUCGAUCCGAUAGCGAACGCGUGCACUUUUCUCCUGGUAGGACGUCGCGAUCCGUUGGGUGUCGGUCUACGGCUCACGGUGGAGCCCGGAUGUACGGCUUGCCGUCACGUCCGGACCCGUGUGUCCCGGCUGACUCGCUCGACGGUAUACGAAAGGUUUAAGGCCGCUCUMGCGAGCGUUCGGCUCGUCGCAAGCGCGUUAAAUGUGUCGGUGAUCGGACCUAGUGCCGGUCCUGACCUUUGACGACUGUUGGCGGCGAAGUUCUCGAACAGUGCUUUAACCAAUCUGCGACGCUAUAGCUUUGGGUACUUUCAGGACCCGUCUUGA
RNAcentral lists this ribosomal RNA (430 nucleotides) under Liophloeus gibbus. Its description in RNAcentral is "partial large subunit ribosomal RNA". Lineage: Eukaryota; Metazoa; Arthropoda; Insecta; Coleoptera; Curculionidae. The record is from RNAcentral.